RNAcentral lists this ribosomal RNA (253 nucleotides) under uncultured bacterium. Its description in RNAcentral is "partial 16S ribosomal RNA". It matches the Rfam family "Bacterial small subunit ribosomal RNA", at positions 524 to 776 of the family's 1533-position model. The record is from RNAcentral.
UACGUAGGGGGCAAGCGUUGUCCGGAAUCAUUGGGCGUAAAGUGAGCGUAGGCGGCCCGAUAAGUCUGCUGUAAAAGUCAACGGCUCAACCGUUGAAAGCCGGUGGAUACUGUCGGGCUAGAGUUCGGAAGAGGCAAGUGGAAUUCCUGGUGUAGCGGUGGAAUGCGCAGAUAUCAGGAGGAACACCGGUGGCGAAGGCGGAUCUCUGGGCCAUUACUGACGCUGAGGAGCGAAAGCGUGGGGAGCGAACAGG